AGCUUGCUACAUGACCUAGCGGCGGACGGGUGAGUAAUGCUUAGGAAUCUGCCUAUUAGUGGGGGACAACGUUCCGAAAGGAGCGCUAAUACCGCAUACGCCCUACGGGGGAAAGCAGGGGAUCUUCGGACCUUGCGCUAAUAGAUGAGCCUAAGUCGGAUUAGCUAGUUGGUAGGGUAAAGGCCUACCAAGGCGACGAUCUGUAGCGGGUUUGAGAGGAUGAUCCGCCACACUGGGACUGAGACACGGCCCAGACUCCUACGGGAGGCAGCAGUGGGGAAUAUUGGACAAUGGGCGCAAGCCUGAUCCAGCCAUGCCGCGUGUGUGAAGAAGGCCUUAUGGUUGUAAAGCACUUUAAGCGAGGAGGAGGCUUACCUAGAUAAUACCUAGGAUAAGUGGACGUUACUCGCAGAAUAAGCACCGGCUAACUCUGUGCCAGCAGCCGCGGUAAUACAGAGGGUGCAAGCGUUAAUCGGAAUUACUGGGCGUAAAGCGCGCGUAGGUGGCCAUUUAAGUCAAAUGUGAAAUCCCCGAGCUUAACUUGGGAAUUGCAUUCGAUACUGGGUGGCUAGAGUAUAGGAGAGGAAGGUAGAAUUCCAGGUGUAGCGGUGAAAUGCGUAGAGAUCUGGAGGAAUACCGAUGGCGAAGGCAGCCUUCUGGCCUAAUACUGACACUGAGGUGCGAAAGCAUGGGGAGCAAACAGGAUUAGAUACCCUGGUAGUCCAUGCCGUAAACGAUGUCUACUAGCCGUUGGGUCCUUUGAGGACUUAGUGGCGCAGCUAACGCGAUAAGUAGACCGCCUGGGGAGUACGGUCGCAAGACUAAAACUCAAAUGAAUUGACGGGGGCCCGCACAAGCGGUGGAGCAUGUGGUUUAAUUCGAUGCAACGCGAAGAAACCUUACCU
This 905-nucleotide ribosomal RNA is filed under the name Acinetobacter nectaris. RNAcentral's name for it is "bacterial SSU rRNA". It matches the Rfam family "Bacterial small subunit ribosomal RNA", at positions 77 to 976 of the family's 1533-position model. The record is from RNAcentral. Lineage: Bacteria; Pseudomonadati; Pseudomonadota; Gammaproteobacteria; Moraxellales; Moraxellaceae.